AACGAACGCUGGCGGCAUGCCUAACACAUGCAAGUCGAACGAGACCUUCGGGUCUAGUGGCGCACGGGUGCGUAACGCGUGGGAACCUGCCUUUAGGUUCGGAAUAACAGUGAGAAAUUACUGCUAAUACCGGAUGAUGUCUUCGGACCAAAGAUUUAUCGCCUUUAGAUGGGGCCCGCGUUGGAUUAGCUAGUUGGUGGGGUAAAGGCCUACCAAGGCGACGAUCCAUAGCUGGUCUGAGAGGAUGAUCAGCCACACUGGGACUGAGACACGGCCCAGACUCCUACGGGAGGCAGCAGUGGGGAAUAUUGGACAAUGGGCGAAAGCCUGAUCCAGCAAUGCCGCGUGAGUGAUGAAGGCCUUAGGGUUGUAAAGCUCUUUUACCCGAGAUGAUAAUGACAGUAUCGGGAGAAUAAGCUCCGGCUAACUCCGUG
RNAcentral lists this ribosomal RNA (434 nucleotides) under uncultured bacterium. RNAcentral's name for it is "bacterial SSU rRNA". It matches the Rfam family "Bacterial small subunit ribosomal RNA", at positions 29 to 507 of the family's 1533-position model. The record is from RNAcentral.